RNAcentral lists this ribosomal RNA (76 nucleotides) under Planctomycetota bacterium. The record is from RNAcentral. Lineage: Bacteria; Pseudomonadati; Planctomycetota.
GGUGCCCAUACCCAAAGGGACACACCCGAUCCCAUCUCGAACUCGGAAGUUAAGCCUUUGGGGCCGAUGAUAGUCG